This 460-nucleotide ribosomal RNA is filed under the name uncultured bacterium. RNAcentral's name for it is "partial 16S ribosomal RNA". It matches the Rfam family "Bacterial small subunit ribosomal RNA", at positions 338 to 795 of the family's 1533-position model. The record is from RNAcentral.
CCUACGGGUGGCAGCAGUGAGGAAUAUUGGUCAAUGGACGCAAGUCUGAACCAGCCAUGCCGCGUGCAGGAAGACGGCUCUAUGGGUUGUAAACUGCUUUUGUACGAGGAUAAACUCAGAUACGCGUAUCUGUCUGAACGUAUCGUACGAAUAAGGAUCGGCUAACUCCGUGCCAGCAGCCGCGGUAAUACGGAGGAUUCGAGCGUUAUCCGGAUUUAUUGGGUUUAAAGGGAGCGUAGGCGGUUGGAUAAGUUAGAGGUGAAAUGCCGCGGCUCAACCUCGGAAUUGCCUCUGAUACUGUUGGGCUAGAGAGUAGUUGCGGUAGGCGGAAUGUAUGGUGUAGCGGUGAAAUGCUUAGAGAUCAUACAGAACACCGAUUGCGAAGGCAGCUUACCGAGCUACUUCUGACGUUGAGGCACGAAAGCGUGGGGAGCAAACAGGAUUAGAUACCCUUGUAGUC